This 71-nucleotide transfer RNA is filed under the name Bos taurus (domestic cattle). It matches the Rfam family "tRNA". From Rfam's summary of the family: Transfer RNA (tRNA) molecules are approximately 80 nucleotides in length. Their secondary structure includes four short double-helical elements and three loops (D, anti-codon, and T loops). Lineage: Eukaryota; Metazoa; Chordata; Mammalia; Artiodactyla; Bovidae. The record is from Rfam by way of RNAcentral.
UCCCUGGUGGCUCAGAUGGUAAAGAAUCUGCCUGCAAUGCAGGAGACCAGGGUUUGAUCCCUGCUUGGAAA